GUAUAUAGAUAUAGGAAGAUGUGGUGUGAGUGCCAAUGAGACAACUCUCCAUACAAAUAACAAUUUAAAAAGUAAACCAUUAUAGGUUAAAGUACGGCCUUCAACACGGAGCCUUAGCUCACACCGAACAACAAGCUAUAAAGGGCCCCAAAAUUACUAGUGUAAAACCAUUCAAACGGGAAAACCAACGGUCUAAUCUAUAUAAACAAAACGAGAAACGAGAAACACGUAUAUAUUACAUAAACAAACGACAACUACUGUACAUCAGAUUCCUGACUUAGGACAGGUGCAAACAUUUGCAGC
This 303-nucleotide long non-coding RNA is filed under the name Mytilus galloprovincialis (Mediterranean mussel). The record is from RNAcentral. Lineage: Eukaryota; Metazoa; Mollusca; Bivalvia; Mytilida; Mytilidae.